This 468-nucleotide ribosomal RNA is filed under the name uncultured bacterium. RNAcentral describes it as "partial 16S ribosomal RNA". It matches the Rfam family "Bacterial small subunit ribosomal RNA", at positions 28 to 507 of the family's 1533-position model. The record is from RNAcentral.
GACGAACGCUGGCGGCGUGCUUAACACAUGCAAGUCGAACGGAAAGGCCCUGCUUUUGUGGGGUGCUCGAGUGGCGAACGGGUGAGUAACACGUGAGUAACCUGCCCUUGACUUUGGGAUAACUUCAGGAAACUGGGGCUAAUACCGGAUAGGAGCUCCUGCUGCAUGGUGGGGGUUGGAAAGUUUCGGCGGUUGGGGAUGGACUCGCGGCUUAUCAGCUUGUUGGUGGGGUAGUGGCUUACCAAGGCUUUGACGGGUAGCCGGCCUGAGAGGGUGACCGGCCACAUUGGGACUGAAAUACGGCCCAGACUCCUACGGGAGGCAGCAGUGAGGAAUAUUGCACUAUGGGCGGAAGCCUGAUGCAGCAACGCCGCGUGCGGGAUGACGGCCUUCGGGUUGUAAACCGCUUUCGCCUGUGACGAAGCGUGAGUGACGGUAAUGGGUAAAGAAGCACCGGCUAACUACGUG